CUGCUGCCCACUCAAAUAGCGUCUGCUGCCGGGGGGAGGAGCCUGAGAGGCCGCUGCUGUCAGUCAAUGAGAUGGGCGGACGCUUCCUUCAAUGGCAGCGCAGGGGAGGAAAGGUCACGAGGAGGAUUGGCCAAUCAACACAUCGAUAACUUUCAAGUAGUCCAAAUUCCACUGGCACACUGUUGUGAACAGCACCGAUGGCGUUCGUGGUUAAGCUGGACCCCUACUGAUCAGGUCCUCACCUCAUGCCAAGAGUGUCACCUGAAUCUCACCUCCUUGAGCAGCAGCUGCCGUAACCCUCCUCGUCGACGUCACCUGUGUUUGUCAGCCACAGUCUCUGUGCUCCUCUGGAUCUCCAGCCACGCCACGAACUCUGUCUGGCCUCCCAGCUCUUGGGACUCUGCACGUACGGUACCGGAGACUACAAUCAAGAGCCGCAGCCACGUUACCCACAGCCUCGCCAGGAAUCAGCAAGAACUUAAAAUAAAUUCUUUACUUUUCACUCA
Oryzias latipes (Japanese medaka) is the source of this 506-nucleotide long non-coding RNA. RefSeq lists it as uncharacterized. The record is from RefSeq and is a predicted model, not a curated record. NCBI's taxonomy places the organism in Eukaryota, Metazoa, Chordata, Actinopteri, Beloniformes, Adrianichthyidae.